UCUAGCAUCCCUAAAGAUGGUAGGCCAAUAGAAACCACAUUCUAAUACCUUAAGUGUUGUUCUAUUAGUGCCAAAGUGUCCCCCACAAGCAUAAGUGUGACAAAAUGUUAGAAUAGCAUUAAACUCAGAAUCGUGCACACACCUACGUAUAACUUGGUCAGGGCAAUAUUUCCAUAGAUACGGGUCAUCCCACACAUAAAACCGUGCCUCUUUCUUCAAUUUAUCACCUUGGUGUUUAAGUAAUUCACUAGG
RNAcentral lists this long non-coding RNA (252 nucleotides) under Malus domestica (apple). Its description in RNAcentral is "long non-coding RNA (MDOM_LNC018778)". The record is from RNAcentral. Lineage: Eukaryota; Viridiplantae; Streptophyta; Magnoliopsida; Rosales; Rosaceae.